GAGGCGAACCGGGGGAACUGAAACAUCUAAGUACCCCGAGGAAAAGAAAUCAACCGAGAUUCCGAAAGUAGCGGCGAGCGAAAUUGGACUAGCCCUUAAGCUUUACACGCGUUAGACGAACGGUCUGGAAAGUCCGACGAUACAGGGUGAUAGUCCCGUAGUUGACGACGUGUGUUCAGUGAAAUCGAGUAGGGCGGGACACGUGAUAUCCUGUCUGAAUAUGGGGGGACCAUCCUCCAAGGCUAAAUACUACUGACUGACCGAUAGUGAACCAGUACCGUGAGGGAAAGGCGAAAAGAACCCCUGUGAGGGGAGUGAAAUAGAACCUGAAACCGUGUACGUACAAGCAGUAGGAGCAGGCUUUGUCCUGUGACUGCGUACCUUUUGUAUAAUGGGUCAGCGACUUAUAUUCAGUGGCAAGGUUAACCAUCUAGGGGAGCCGUAGGGAAACCGAGUCUUAACUGGGCGUUCAGUCUCUGGAUAUAGACCCGAAACCAGGUGAUCUAGCCAUGGGCAGGUUGAAGGUUGAGUAACAUCAACUGGAGGACCGAACCGACUAAUGUUGAAAAAUUAGCGGAUGACUUGUGGCUAGGGGUGAAAGGCCAAUCAAACCUGGAGAUAGCUGGUUCUCCCCGAAAGCUAUUUAGGUAGCGCCUCGGACGAAUACUACUGGGGGUAGAGCACUGUUAAGGCUAGGGGGUCAUCCCGACUUACCAACCCUUUGCAAACUCCGAAUACCAGUAAGUACUAUCCGGGAGACACACGGCGGGUGCUAACGUCCGUCGUGGAGAGGGAAACAACCCAGACCGCCAGCUAAGGUCCCAAAUUACUACUAAGUGGGAAACGAUGUGGGAAGGCUCAGACAGCCAGGAUGUUGGCUUAGAAGCAGCCAUCAUUUAAAGAAAGCGUAAUAGCUCACUGGUCGAGUCGGCCUGCGCGGAAGAUGUAACGGGGCUAA
This 958-nucleotide ribosomal RNA is filed under the name Vibrio parahaemolyticus. RNAcentral's name for it is "partial 23S ribosomal RNA". It matches the Rfam family "Bacterial large subunit ribosomal RNA", at positions 176 to 1184 of the family's 2925-position model. Lineage: Bacteria; Pseudomonadati; Pseudomonadota; Gammaproteobacteria; Vibrionales; Vibrionaceae. The record is from RNAcentral.